AUCCGGUUCACUUUAACACUGAGGCGUGACGACGAGGCACUACGGUGCUGAAGCAACAAAUGCCCUGCUUCCAGGAAAAGCCUCUAAGCAUCAGGUAACAUCAAAUCGUACCCCAAACCGACACAGGUGGUCAGGUAGAGAAUACCAAGGCGCUUGAGAGAACUCGGGUGAAGGAACUAGGCAAAAUGGUGCCGUAACUUCGGGAGAAGGCACGCUGACACGUAGGUGAAGUGAUUUACUCAUGGAGCUGAAGUCAGUCGAAGAUACCAGCUGGCUGCAACUGUUUAUUAAAAACACAGCACUGUGCAAACACGAAAGUGGACGUAUACGGUGUGACGCCUGCCCGGUGCCGGAAGGUUAAUUGAUGGGGUCAGCGCAAGCGAAGCUCCUGAUCGAAGCCCCGGUAAACGGCGGCCGUAACUAUAACGGUCCUAAGGUAGCGAAAUUCCUUGUCGGGUAAGUUCCGACCUGCACGAAUGGCGUAAUGAUGGCCAGGCUGUCUCCACCCGAGACUCAGUGAAAUUGAACUCGCUGUGAAGAUGCAGUGUACCCGCGGCAAGACGGAAAGACCCCGUGAACCUUUACUAUAGCUUGACACUGAACAUUGAGCCUUGAUGUGUAGGAUAGGUGGGAGGCUUUGAAGCGUGGACGCCAGUCUGCGUGGAGCCGACCUUGAAAUACCACCCUUUAAUGUUUGAUGUUCUAACGUGGACCCGUUACCCGGGUUGCGGACAGUGUCUGGUGGGUAGUUUGACUGGGGCGGUCUCCUCCUAAAGAGUAACGGAGGAGCACGAAGGUUGGCUAAUCCUGGUCGGACAUCAGGAGGUUAGUGCAAUGGCAUAAGCCAGCUUGACUGCGAGCGUGACGGCGCGAGCAGGUGCGAAAGCAGGUCAUAGUGAUCCGGUGGUUCUGAAUGGAAGGGCCAUCGCUCAACGGAUAAAAGGUACUCCGGGGAUAACAGGCUGAUACCGCCCAAGAGUUCAUAUCGACGGCGGUGUUUGGCACCUCGAUGUCGGCUCAUCACAUCCUGGGGCUGAAGUAGGUCCCAAGGGUAUGGCUGUUCGCCAUUUAAAGUGGUACGCGAGCUGGGUUUAGAACGUCGUGAGACAGUUCGGUCCCUAUCUGCCGUGGGCGCUGGAGAACUGAGGGGGGCUGCUCCUAGUACGAGAGGACCGGAGUGGACGCAUCACUGGUGUUCGGGUUGUCAUGCCAAUGGCACUGCCCGGUAGCUAAAUGCGGAAGAGAUAAGUGCUGAAAGCAUCUAAGCACGAAACUUGCCCCGA
This 1283-nucleotide ribosomal RNA is filed under the name Salmonella enterica subsp. enterica serovar Kottbus. RNAcentral describes it as "partial 23S ribosomal RNA". It matches the Rfam family "Bacterial large subunit ribosomal RNA", at positions 1540 to 2802 of the family's 2925-position model. Lineage: Bacteria; Pseudomonadati; Pseudomonadota; Gammaproteobacteria; Enterobacterales; Enterobacteriaceae. The record is from RNAcentral.